GCUGGGCGUGGUGGUGUGUGCCUGUAAUCCCAGCUACUCGGGAGGCUGGGGCAGAAGAAUUGCUUGAACCUGGGAGGUGGAGGUUGCAGUGAGCUGAGAUCGGCGCCACUGCACUCCAGCCCGGGUGACAGAGCAAGACUCUGUCUUAA
This 149-nucleotide small RNA is filed under the name Macaca fascicularis (crab-eating macaque). RNAcentral's name for it is "Metazoan signal recognition particle RNA (ENSMFAG00000064164.1)". Lineage: Eukaryota; Metazoa; Chordata; Mammalia; Primates; Cercopithecidae. The record is from Rfam by way of RNAcentral.